GAUGUGGGGACGGAUCUUAAUAGGUCAUCCGGGUGUUGGAUAUCCCGGUUUAGGCAGAUGUAGGCGACAGGUAGGCAAAUCCGCCUGUCAUAUACCGAGGCUGCCGAUCGAGCGAGCUUGCUCGCGAAGUGAUUGAACGAGGUUCCAGGAAAAGCCACUAAGCUUCAGCUACACACGACCGUACCGCAAACCGACACUGGUGCGCGAGAUGAGUAUUCUAAGGCGCUUGAGAGAACUCGGGAGAAGGAACUCGGCAAAUUGACACCGUAACUUCGGAAGAAGGUGUGCCCUAGUAGUGUGAAGUGAACAACGGAGCAUGAAUGGGUUGCAAAAAAUCGGUGGCUGCGACUGUUUAUUAAAAACACAGCACUCUGCAAACACGAAAGUGGACGUAUAGGGUGUGACGCCUGCCCGGUGCUGGAAGAUUAAAUGAUGGGGUGCAAGCUCUUGAUUGAAGUCCCAGUAAACGGCGGCCGUAACAAUAACGGUCCUAAGGUAGCGAAAUUCCUUGUCGGGUAAGUUCCGACCUGCACGAAUGGCGUAACGAUGGCACACUGUCUCCUCCCGAGACUCAGCGAAGUUGAAAUGUUUGUGAUGAUGCAAUCUCCCCGCGGAAAGACGGAAAGACCCCAUGAACCUUUACUGUAGCUUUGUAUUGGACUUUGAACAGAUCUGUGUAGGAUAGGUGGGAGGCUUUGAAGCAGGGUCGCUAGAUCUUGUGGAGCCAACGUUGAAAUACCACCCUGGUGUGUUUGAGGUUCUAACCUAGGUCCAUUAUCUGGAUCGGGGACAGUGCAUGGUAGGCAGUUUGACUGGGGCAGUCUCCUCCCAAAGCGUAACGGAGGAGUUCGAAGGUACGCUAGUUACGGUCGGACAUCGUGACGAUAGUGCAAUGGCAUAAGCGUGCUUAACUGCGAGACUGACAAGUCGAGCAGAUGCGAAAGCAGGACAUAGUGAUCCGGUGGUUCUGUAUGGAAGGGCCAUCGCUCAACGGAUAAAAGGUACUCUGGGGAUAACAGGCUGAUACCGCCCAAGAGUUCAUAUCGACGGCGGUGUUUGGCACCUCGAUGUCGGCUCAUCUCAUCCUGGGGCUGUAGCCGGUCCCAAGGGUAUGGCUGUUCGCCAUUUAAAGAGGUACGUGAGCUGGGUUUAAAACGCCGUGAGACAGUUUGGUCCCUAUCUUCCGUGGGCGCUGCAGAUUUGAGGAAGCCUGCUCCUAGUACGAGAGGACCGGAGUGGACGCACCUCUGGUGUAUCGGUUGUCACGCCAGUGGCAUUGCCGAGUAGCUAUGUGCGGAAGAGAUAACCGCUGAAAGCAUCUAAGCGGGAAACUCGUUCCAAGAUGAGAUCUGCCGGGGCCUUGAGCCCCCUAAAGAGUCGUUCAAGACCAGGACGUUGAUAGGUCAGGUGUGGAAGCGCAGUAAUGCGUUAAGCUAACUGAUACUAAUUGCUCGUGCGGCUUGACCCU
RNAcentral lists this ribosomal RNA (1468 nucleotides) under metagenome. RNAcentral's name for it is "bacterial LSU rRNA". It matches the Rfam family "Bacterial large subunit ribosomal RNA", at positions 1463 to 2925 of the family's 2925-position model. The record is from RNAcentral.